Molecule: ribosomal RNA, 439 nt
Filed under: uncultured bacterium
Lineage: Bacteria
Description: bacterial SSU rRNA
Rfam family: Bacterial small subunit ribosomal RNA
Source: RNAcentral
AACGCGAAGAACCUUACCUACCCUUGAUAUCCUCGGAAUCCUCUAGAGAUAGAGGAGUGCCUUCGGGAACCGAGAGACAGGUGCUGCAUGGCUGUCGUCAGCUCGUGUCGUGAGAUGUUGGGUUAAGUCCCGUAACGAGCGCAACCCUCGUCCUUAGUUGCCAGCGGUUCGGCCGGGAACUCUAAGGAGACUGCCGGUGAUAAACCGGAGGAAGGUGGGGAUGAUGUCAAGUCAUCAUGGCCCUUACGGGUAGGGCCACACACGUGCUACAAUGGGCAGUACAGAGGGUUGCCAAACCGCGAGGUGGAGCUAAUCCCAAAAAGCUGCUCGUAGUCCAGAUUGGAGUCUGCAACUCGACUCCAUGAAGCUGGAAUCGCUAGUAAUCGCGAAUCAGAAUGUCGCGGUGAAUACGUUCCCGGGCCUUGUACACACCGACAUA